UCUGUAGGUGGCCAACUAAGUCAGACGUGAAAUCCCUCAGCUUAACUGGGGAACUGCGUCUGAUACUGGAUGGCUUGAGUGCAGGAGAGGAAUGCGGAAUUCCAGGUGUAGCGGUGAAAUGCGUAGAUAUCUGGAGGAACACCGGUGGCGAAGGCGGCAUUCUGGACUGUAACUGACACUGAGAGACGAAAGCCAGGGGAGCAAACG
Molecule: ribosomal RNA, 207 nt
Filed under: uncultured bacterium
Lineage: Bacteria
Description: partial 16S ribosomal RNA
Rfam family: Bacterial small subunit ribosomal RNA
Source: RNAcentral